Molecule: long non-coding RNA, 583 nt
Organism: Salvia miltiorrhiza (redroot sage)
Lineage: Eukaryota; Viridiplantae; Streptophyta; Magnoliopsida; Lamiales; Lamiaceae
Exons: 5
Source: RefSeq, a predicted model, not a curated record
AGAUAACAGUUGCUUCAACGUAGGACAUUUGAAGACUUUAAGUCCUCUUUUGGAGAUGACACUGUUUUGUCCUCCAUAUCUGACAUAAAUUUGCAGCUAGUAUUCGAAGAUCUUAUUGAUCGUGCUAAAGAGAAAGAAGAGAAAGAGGUUAAAAAGCGUAAACGUCUAGCCAAAGAUUUCACUGAAAAAUUGAGCACCAUUAAGGAAUUAAAUGUGCUAUCUUCGUGGGAGGAAUGCAAACCACUUAUUGAGGAAAGCUCAGAGUACAGUCUCUAGAGAUGAUGGCAAAUACCUGUCACCUGAUGCUGAUAGAAGAGUACGUAACCUCUAUAGACUUCACAGGUUGAGCUUGUGUGUCGGGUUCUCUCCUGAGUUAGUUGUUGCAGAUUUAUCAUAGCAGGUUGAUCAACUAGUUCUUGAGGAUUUGGUGCUAGAACAUAUAGUAUGAUAGAUUUUCGUUUUAGCUAUAACAUAGUUGGUACUUUCAAUUUUGAAUCGAAAUAUGCAAUGAUCAUAUGUACUUGAUACUUGGUUCAUUUGGAUGGUAAUGUAUGAAUAUUUUGGAUGAUAUAUAAUAUUGUUA